This is an unclassified non-coding RNA of Callithrix jacchus (white-tufted-ear marmoset), 288 nucleotides long. It matches the Rfam family "Metazoan signal recognition particle RNA". From Rfam's summary of the family: The signal recognition particle (SRP) is a universally conserved ribonucleoprotein. It is involved in the co-translational targeting of proteins to membranes. NCBI's taxonomy places the organism in Eukaryota, Metazoa, Chordata, Mammalia, Primates, Cebidae. The record is from Ensembl.
GCCAGAUGCAGUGGGUGCACCUGUAGUCCCAGGUACUAGAGAGGUUGAAGAGAAAGAAUUGCUGGAGCCCAGGAGUUCUGGGCUGUAGUAUGCUAUACCAAUCGGGUGUUUGGCAUCAAUAUAGUGACCUCUCCAGAGUGGAGAACCACCAGGUUGCCUGAGGAGAGGUGAACCGGCUCAGGUCAGAAAUGAAGAUAGUCAAAACUCUCUUGCUGAUUAGUAGUAAUAAUGGGCCUGUGAAUAGCCACUGCAUUCCAGCCUCAGCAACAUAGCAACAUCCCAUCUCUA